RNAcentral lists this ribosomal RNA (253 nucleotides) under uncultured Cryomorphaceae bacterium. RNAcentral's name for it is "partial 23S ribosomal RNA". It matches the Rfam family "Bacterial large subunit ribosomal RNA", at positions 1 to 269 of the family's 2925-position model. The record is from RNAcentral. Lineage: Bacteria; Pseudomonadati; Bacteroidota; Flavobacteriia; Flavobacteriales; Cryomorphaceae.
CAAAAAAUUAUCAAGAGCAUUCGGUGGAUGCCUUGGCUCUCAGAGGCGAUGAAGGACGCGACAAGCUGCGAUAAGCUGCGGGUAGAUGCAAAUAAUCACCAAUCCGCAGGUUUCCGAAUGGGGCAACCCACUAUGUUGAAGACAUAGUAUCUAUUUAUAGAAGCCAACCCGAUGAACUGAAACAUCUAAGUAGUCGGAGGAAAAGAAAACAAAAGUGAUUCUCCUAGUAGUGGCGAGCGAACGGGGAAUAGCC